AAAGUGUUCCAAUGCACAAAUGUGGCUUUAUCCAUGUGGCAUGAAGAAGCACAGCACUCUGGUGCAGUGGUGUAUAAUUUUGUUGCACAACACUGCAGAUCAAGCUUGCCACAGUCUUUGGACUGAUGAAAGCAUGGUCCUGCAUAUCCCUUUUCUUCUGAGUACCUCAUUGCUGAGGAGAAAAAACACACAGGACAUAAUU
Molecule: small nucleolar RNA, 202 nt
Filed under: Dasypus novemcinctus (nine-banded armadillo)
Lineage: Eukaryota; Metazoa; Chordata; Mammalia; Cingulata; Dasypodidae
Description: Small nucleolar RNA SNORA73 family (ENSDNOG00000031986.1)
Source: RNAcentral